RNAcentral lists this ribosomal RNA (1499 nucleotides) under Weissella confusa. Its description in RNAcentral is "bacterial SSU rRNA". It matches the Rfam family "Bacterial small subunit ribosomal RNA". The record is from RNAcentral. Lineage: Bacteria; Bacillati; Bacillota; Bacilli; Lactobacillales; Lactobacillaceae.
GAUGAACGCUGGCGGCGUGCCUAAUACAUGCAAGUCGAACGCUUUGUGGUUCAACUGAUUUGAAGAGCUUGCUCAGAUAUGACGAUGGACAUUGCAAAGAGUGGCGAACGGGUGAGUAACACGUGGGAAACCUACCUCUUAGCAGGGGAUAACAUUUGGAAACAGAUGCUAAUACCGUAUAACAAUGACAACCGCAUGGUUGUUAUUUAAAAGAUGGUUCUGCUAUCACUAAGAGAUGGUCCCGCGGUGCAUUAGCUAGUUGGUAAGGUAAUGGCUUACCAAGGCGAUGAUGCAUAGCCGAGUUGAGAGACUGAUCGGCCACAAUGGGACUGAGACACGGCCCAUACUCCUACGGGAGGCAGCAGUAGGGAAUCUUCCACAAUGGGCGAAAGCCUGAUGGAGCAACGCCGCGUGUGUGAUGAAGGGUUUCGGCUCGUAAAACACUGUUGUAAGAGAAGAAUGACAUUGAGAGUAACUGUUCAAUGUGUGACGGUAUCUUACCAGAAAGGAACGGCUAAAUACGUGCCAGCAGCCGCGGUAAUACGUAUGUUCCAAGCGUUAUCCGGAUUUAUUGGGCGUAAAGCGAGCGCAGACGGUUAUUUAAGUCUGAAGUGAAAGCCCUCAGCUCAACUGAGGAAUUGCUUUGGAAACUGAAUGACUUGAGUGCAGUAGAGGAAAGUGGAACUCCAUGUGUAGCGGUGAAAUGCGUAGAUAUAUGGAAGAACACCAGUGGCGAAGGCGGCUUUCUGGACUGUAACUGACGUUGAGGCUCGAAAGUGUGGGUAGCAAACAGGAUUAGAUACCCUGGUAGUCCACACCGUAAACGAUGAGUGCUAGGUGUUUGAGGGUUUCCGCCCUUAAGUGCCGCAGCUAACGCAUUAAGCACUCCGCCUGGGGAGUACGACCGCAAGGUUGAAACUCAAAGGAAUUGACGGGGACCCGCACAAGCGGUGGAGCAUGUGGUUUAAUUCGAAGCAACGCGAAGAACCUUACCAGGUCUUGACAUCCCUUGACAACUUCAGAGAUGGAGCGUUCCCUUCGGGGACAAGGUGACAGGUGGUGCAUGGUUGUCGUCAGCUCGUGUCGUGAGAUGUUGGGUUAAGUCCCGCAACGAGCGCAACCCUUAUUACUAGUUGCCAGCAUUCAGUUGGGCACUCUAGUGAGACUGCCGGUGACAAACCGGAGGAAGGUGGGGAUGACGUCAAAUCAUCAUGCCCCUUAUGACCUGGGCUACACACGUGCUACAAUGGCGUAUACAACGAGUUGCCAACCCGCGAGGGUGAGCUAAUCUCUUAAAGUACGUCUCAGUUCGGAUUGUAGGCUGCAACUCGCCUACAUGAAGUCGGAAUCGCUAGUAAUCGCGGAUCAGCACGCCGCGGUGAAUACGUUCCCGGGUCUUGUACACACCGCCCGUCACACCAUGAGAGUUUGUAACACCCAAAGCCGGUGGGGUAACCUUCGGGAGCCAGCCGUCUAAGGUGGGACAGAUGAUUAGGGUG